AUUGAACGCUGGCGGCAUGCCUUACACAUGCAAGUCGAACGGUAACAGGUCUUCGGAUGCUGACGAGUGGCGAACGGGUGCGUAAUACAUCGGAACGUGCCUAGUAGUGGGGGAUAACUACUCGAAAGAGUGGCUAAUACCGCAUGAGAUCUACGGAUGAAAGCAGGGGAUCACAAGACCUUGUGCUACUAGAGCGGCCGAUGGCAGAUUAGGUAGUUGGUGGGAUAAAAGCUUACCAAGCCGACGAUCUGUAGCUGGUCUGAGAGGACGAUCAGCCACACUGGGACUGAGACACGGCCCAGACUCCUACGGGAGGCAGCAGUGGGGAAUUUUGGACAAUGGGCGAAAGCCUGAUUCAGCAAUGCCGCGUGCAGGAUGAAGGCCUUCGGGUUGUAAACUGCUUUUGUACGGAACGAAAAGCCCCGGGUUAAUACCCUGGGGUCAUGACGGUACCGUAAGAAUAAGCACCGGCUAACUACGUGCCAGCAGCCGCCGUAA
This 498-nucleotide ribosomal RNA is filed under the name uncultured bacterium. Its description in RNAcentral is "partial 16S ribosomal RNA". It matches the Rfam family "Bacterial small subunit ribosomal RNA", at positions 30 to 523 of the family's 1533-position model. The record is from RNAcentral.